GAGGGUAUAGCUCAGUGGUAGAGCGCAUGUUUAGCAUGCAAGAGGUCCUAGGUUCAAUCUCCAGUACCUCCA
Molecule: transfer RNA, 72 nt
Filed under: Camelus bactrianus (Bactrian camel)
Lineage: Eukaryota; Metazoa; Chordata; Mammalia; Artiodactyla; Camelidae
Also listed under: 2 other names
Rfam family: tRNA
About the family: Transfer RNA (tRNA) molecules are approximately 80 nucleotides in length. Their secondary structure includes four short double-helical elements and three loops (D, anti-codon, and T loops).
Source: Rfam by way of RNAcentral